This 331-nucleotide ribosomal RNA is filed under the name uncultured Selenomonas sp. Its description in RNAcentral is "bacterial SSU rRNA". It matches the Rfam family "Bacterial small subunit ribosomal RNA", at positions 32 to 339 of the family's 1533-position model. The record is from RNAcentral. Lineage: Bacteria; Bacillati; Bacillota; Negativicutes; Selenomonadales; Selenomonadaceae.
GACGCUGGCGACGUGCUUAACACAUGCAAGUCGAACGAGGUGAUUGAAAGCUUGCUUUUGAGAACCGAGUGGCAAACGGGUGAGUAACGCGUAGACAACCUGCCGCAAAGAGUGGGGACAACAGUACCGAAAGGACUGCUAAUACCGAAUGUUGUAUUCUUUUCCGCAUGGGAGAGAUAUUAAAGAUGGCCUCUACUUGUAAGCUAUCGCUUUGCGAUGGGUCUGCGUCUGAUUAGCUGGUUGGUGGGGUAACGGCCUACCAAGGCGACGAUCAGUAGCCGGUCUGAGAGGAUGAACGGCCACAUUGGAACUGAGACACGGUCCAGACUCC